GGGCACGACAAGGUUUCUGUCAAUAAUACUGGGUUAAUGAGUUGACUUGUGCAUUUAGUACAUGGCCUUGAAUAUAAACGAAUAAGGCAGCGGAUGCCGUAUAACUACAACUCCCACAAUCCAAGAUAAAGGUCUGGAGUGUAUGGGAGGAGUUGAUUUUAUUGUUCAAGGACACUUCAUCAGGAGUAGCUGUGGGGGGAGAUGUAAUCUGACUCCGUCUGCUUACGUGGCUGCCAUUGACUGCGAGGCCUCCUCCUCCUCAGAGGACACAGACGUGUUCCUCACGCGAUGAUUUGGCAGCUGUUACUCCAAGGAGCAUCCAGCAACAUCACCGAGGACCGUCAUCAGAAGAAAAGG
This is a long non-coding RNA of Cynoglossus semilaevis (tongue sole), 357 nucleotides long. RefSeq lists it as uncharacterized. Lineage: Eukaryota; Metazoa; Chordata; Actinopteri; Pleuronectiformes; Cynoglossidae. The transcript has 3 exons. The record is from RefSeq and is a predicted model, not a curated record.